UCCGGUUUGUCACCGGCGGUCUCCUUAGAGUUCCCACCAUUACGUGCUGGCAACUAAGGACAAGGGUUGCGCUCGUUGCGGGACUUAACCCAACAUCUCACGACACGAGCUGACGACAGCCAUGCAGCACCUGUACUCCGCCCCUUGCGGGUAGCCGGCUUUCACCGGUUUACAGAGCCUUUCAAGCCUAGGUAAGGUUCUUCGCGUUGCAUCGAAUUAAACCACAUGCUCCACUGCUUGUGCGGGCCCCCGUCAAUUCCUUUGAGUUUCACCCUUGCGAGCGUACUCCCCAGGUGGUACACUUAACGCGUUAGCUUCGACACCGACCCUAAGGGCCGACAUCAAGUGUACAUCGUUUACGGCGUGGACUAC
Molecule: unclassified non-coding RNA, 372 nt
Filed under: uncultured bacterium
Lineage: Bacteria
Description: contains 16S-23S intergenic spacer region
Source: RNAcentral